RNAcentral lists this transfer RNA (84 nucleotides) under Hypoxylon rubiginosum. RNAcentral describes it as "tRNA-Lys". It matches the Rfam family "tRNA". From Rfam's summary of the family: Transfer RNA (tRNA) molecules are approximately 80 nucleotides in length. Their secondary structure includes four short double-helical elements and three loops (D, anti-codon, and T loops). Further hydrogen bonds mediate the characteristic L-shaped molecular structure. tRNAs have two regions of fundamental functional importance: the anti-codon, which is responsible for specific mRNA codon recognition, and the 3' end, to which the tRNAs corresponding amino acid is attached (by aminoacyl-tRNA synthetases). tRNAs cope with the degeneracy of the genetic code in two manners: having more than one tRNA (with a specific anti-codon) for a particular amino acid; and 'wobble' base-pairing, i.e. permitting non-standard base-pairing at the 3rd anti-codon position. Lineage: Eukaryota; Fungi; Ascomycota; Sordariomycetes; Xylariales; Hypoxylaceae. The record is from RNAcentral.
GCCUGCGUAGCUCAAUCGGUAGAGCGUGAGACUCUUAACCCCAUGGUUAUCUCAAGGCUGCGGGUUCGACCCCCGCCGUGGGCU